RNAcentral lists this transfer RNA (76 nucleotides) under Flavobacterium sp. RNAcentral describes it as "tRNA-Met". It matches the Rfam family "tRNA". Rfam says of the family: Transfer RNA (tRNA) molecules are approximately 80 nucleotides in length. The record is from RNAcentral. Lineage: Bacteria; Pseudomonadati; Bacteroidota; Flavobacteriia; Flavobacteriales; Flavobacteriaceae.
GGAAAUAUAGCUCAGUUGGUAGAGCACCUCCUUCAUACGGAGAUUGUCACAAGUUCGAAUCUUGUUAUUUCCACCA